RNAcentral lists this ribosomal RNA (448 nucleotides) under Pollenia amentaria. Its description in RNAcentral is "partial 16S ribosomal RNA". Lineage: Eukaryota; Metazoa; Arthropoda; Insecta; Diptera; Polleniidae. The record is from RNAcentral.
UUUAAUGGCCGCAGUAUACUAACUGUGCAAAGGUAGCAUAAUAAUUAGUCUUUUAAUUGAAGGCUGGUAUGAAUGGUUGGACGAGAUAUUAACUGUUUCAAUAAAAUUUAUAAUAAAAUUUUAUUUUUUAGUUAAAAAGCUAAAAUAAAUUUAAAAGACGAGAAGACCCUAUAAAUCUUUAUAUUUAAGAUAUUAUAAUUUUAUAGAAAAUUUUUAUUAUAAUAUUUGAUACUAUUUUAUUGGGGUGAUAUUAAAAUUUAAUAAACUUUUAAUUUUAAAAAAUCAUUAAUUUAUGAAUUAUUGAUCUUUUAUUAAUGAUUAGGAAUACAAGUUACUUUAGGGAUAACAGCGUAAUUUUUUUGGAGAGUUCAUAUCGAUAAAAAAGAUUGCGACCUCGAUGUUGGAUUAAGAUAUAAUUUUAGGUGUAGCUGCUUAAAUUUUAAGUCUG